This 1372-nucleotide long non-coding RNA is filed under the name Malus domestica (apple). RNAcentral describes it as "long non-coding RNA (MDOM_LNC010358)". The record is from RNAcentral. Lineage: Eukaryota; Viridiplantae; Streptophyta; Magnoliopsida; Rosales; Rosaceae.
GUGGAUCACCCAUCAUGGGAUUGAUCUCACAUGAACUCGCUUAACUUCGAAGUUCCAAUGGAACCCGAAGCCAGUGAGCUCCUAACAAACCUUGUGCUAGGUAGAGAUGUGAAUAUACAUAUAAGGCUUACAUGAUUCACUCUCCUAGACGAUGUGGGAUGUUACAUUUAGUCGAUUACAUUUUUAAACUUUUUAAUUAGGUAAUUUUUCUCUUGAAUUUAAAAUUUAGCCGAUUAUCUCCUCUAAAAAUUUAUAUCUAGCCAAUCUCCCCCAUAGUGUUAGAUUUUAAGAUUUUCCAUCCAAUUUUUCAAUUUUUUGCCCUUAUAUAGUUGUCAUGUGUUGUCUGUGUAAUUAAAAUGGAUGGAAAAUUAGAUGAAAUUUUUUAAAAUCUAACAUAAGAGAAAAUUGACUAUUUAUAAAAGUUCAAGAAGUAAUCGGCUAAAAUUAAAUUUCAAGUGAGAAAUUGGCUCGUUAGAAAAAUUCAUGGAUAAUUAAGUAAAAUUAAAGUUAAGAGAAAAUUGACAACUCCCUAGUAAAUCGGGUGAAAUUGGCUGGUAAGAAAAAUUCAGGGGUUUGGUAAAAUUAAAAGGCCUAAUUUUUUUCGUGAUCUGACAUGCCACUUUCGAUUUGACCCUCUUGGUGAAAAAACUUUUAAUUAAACCCUCGUGAUUGGCCUUGUUAGCAAUUGAGGUCUAAAUCCAAAUUUCCGUUAGUCUUCCAUUAAAUAAACUCAUGUGACUAUCACAUGAAGGAUCAAAUUCGUAAUUUCAAUCCAAUUUACAUCUUAUUCAAUGGACAUAUAGUAUAAUUUAGGGUUUAACUGAAAGUCGCGCAUAAUUUCUUAGGUAUGAUUUAAUUUCUGUUGGAAAUCCUAAUACUUCUAAUAUACCAUUGUUUCUUUUUUCAAUGCCAACACAUCUUUAAUCAUGAGUUAGAGUCUUCGUCUUACUUGAAUUUCAUUCUUGUAUCAAUUGGUACCUGUUUGAAUGCAUAUGCCUUUUAGUUUUGUCUUUAAUUGGUAAUGUGGUUUUAUGCAGGCCUUAGUCGGCGAGUACACAUCGUUCCAAUUUUUUUUCUUAAUCUUCUUUGAAUUGAAGUUCAUAUGGGGAGGGCAAACGUGAAGAUUGAAUUUUCUGCAAUGCCUUUCACCCAUUGUCUUUAAUUCUACAAUGCCUUUCACCCGUCUGAAUGCAUAUAUACUACAUUUCACCCAUUAUCUUUUAACUCUUUUAAGUUAUUAUUGUGCAUAUAUGAUUUUUCUGCAUUAUAUAGGUACAGAUACAUGUGCUAUCAAAUUGGGGUGAUGGUUAGUGACAGCGGAAGAGGUCCACUAGUAGCUAUGGUGGUGGCUGGGAGCUUGAGAUGAGAUACG